RNAcentral lists this transfer RNA (85 nucleotides) under Felis catus (domestic cat). It matches the Rfam family "tRNA". Rfam says of the family: Transfer RNA (tRNA) molecules are approximately 80 nucleotides in length. Their secondary structure includes four short double-helical elements and three loops (D, anti-codon, and T loops). The record is from Rfam by way of RNAcentral. Lineage: Eukaryota; Metazoa; Chordata; Mammalia; Carnivora; Felidae. RNAcentral also lists the same sequence under 2 other names.
GCCUGGGUGGCUCAGUCAGUUGAGCAUCUGACUUUGGCUCAGGUCAUAAUCUCGGGGUCCAUGGGUUCUUGCCCCGCCUUGGGCU